UAGGGAAUCUUCCACAAUGGACGAAAGUCUGAUGGAGCAACGCCGCGUGAGUGAAGAAGGGUUUCGGCUUCGUAAAGCUCUGUUGGUAGUGAAGAAAGAUAGAGGUAGUAAACUGGCCUUUAUUUGACGGUAAUUACUUAGAAAGUCACGGCUAACUACGUGCC
Molecule: ribosomal RNA, 164 nt
Filed under: uncultured bacterium
Lineage: Bacteria
Description: partial 16S ribosomal RNA
Rfam family: Bacterial small subunit ribosomal RNA
Source: RNAcentral